Molecule: long non-coding RNA, 201 nt
Filed under: Homo sapiens (human)
Lineage: Eukaryota; Metazoa; Chordata; Mammalia; Primates; Hominidae
Description: non-protein coding lnc-MEF2C-6:1
Source: RNAcentral
CCUAGGAUAGGAUUUAACACCAUCUGUUCUGUAUAACAUUUGGAACUAACUUCAUAAUUAUAAUAAACAUCUACAUUAGAAAUUCCUCUACCACCAAGCGCUAUGAGCGAAUUAUAAAUAAGAUUUUAUUUGCUCCAAAGAUGAGCAACUCAGGAUUCUUUGUUAUAGACCCUAAACCCAGAUAAAAAUUAAAAUCUCAAA